CCCUUAGAUGUUCUGGGCCGCACGCGCGCUACACUGAUGCAUUCAACGAGCACCCGCUGGGCCGAGAGGUCCGGCUAAUCUUUGAACGUGCAUCGUGCUGGGGAUAGAUGAUUGCAAUUAUUCAUCUUCAACGAGGAAUUCCUAGUAAACGCAAGUCAUCAGCUUGCAUUGAUUACGUCCCUGCCCUUUGUACACACCGCCCGUCGCUCCUACCGAUUGAGUGUUCCGGUGAAUAAUUCGGACUGCAGCAAUUCUCGGUUCCCGAGUUUGCAGCGGAAAGUUUAGUGAACCUUAACACUUAGAGGAAGGAGAAGUCGUAACA
This 322-nucleotide ribosomal RNA is filed under the name uncultured eukaryote. Its description in RNAcentral is "partial 18S ribosomal RNA". It matches the Rfam family "Eukaryotic small subunit ribosomal RNA", at positions 1470 to 1796 of the family's 1831-position model. The record is from RNAcentral.